UCAUGAACAACGCAAAAACACAACCUUCCUGCAAAAGCGUUCCUACGAGGUAGCUUUACAGUGCCCAUGAUGUACGGAAAUCGUCUAUUGGAAUGGAGAUCAACAACAAUGGCCGAUCUUGGGUGCAGUGCUAGUCACCUUCUUGGGCAUGACUAGGAUUGCAAUGAUUGACCACACAU
RNAcentral lists this small RNA (179 nucleotides) under Capronia epimyces CBS 606.96. RNAcentral's name for it is "A. fumigatus sRNA Afu_182". It matches the Rfam family "A. fumigatus sRNA Afu_182". The record is from Rfam by way of RNAcentral. Lineage: Eukaryota; Fungi; Ascomycota; Eurotiomycetes; Chaetothyriales; Herpotrichiellaceae.